Molecule: ribosomal RNA, 496 nt
Filed under: uncultured bacterium
Lineage: Bacteria
Description: partial 16S ribosomal RNA
Rfam family: Bacterial small subunit ribosomal RNA
Source: RNAcentral
GACGAACGCUGGCGGCGUGCCUAAUACAUGCAAGUUGAGCGCUGAAGGUUGGUACUUGUACCAACUGGAUGAGCAGCGAACGGGUGAGUAACGCGUGGGGAAUCUGCCUUUGAGCGGGGGACAACAUUUGGAAACGAAUGCUAAUACCGCAUAAAAACUUUAAACACAAGUUUUAAGUUUGAAAGAUGCAAUUGCAUCACUCAAAGAUGAUCCCGCGUUGUAUUAGCUAGUUGGUGAGGUAAAGGCUCACCAAGGCGAUGAUACAUAGCCGACCUGAGAGGGUGAUCGGCCACAUUGGGACUGAGACACGGCCCAAACUCCUACGGGAGGCCGCAGUAGGGAAUCUUCGGCAAUGGACGAAAGUCUGACCGAGCAACGCCGCGUGAGUGAAGAAGGUUUUCGGAUCGUAAAACUCUGUUGGUAGAGAAGAACGUUGGUGAGAGUGGAAAGCUCAUCAAGUGACGGUAACUACCCAGAAAGGGACGGCUAACUACGU